AGAGAAAUUUUAAUCUUCUCAUCUUAGAAAAUUCAGUGUAUUUGUGUUUUAACCUAGAAAAGGUAAUAUCCUUUGUAGACAGGGUUUCAUCUCACCCCUUCACUUCUGGCUACACUUAGUGUCACUUUUCUGUCAGCAUUGGAUUUAAUUAAAUAUGAAUAAAUUAUUUCUCAGAAAACUAACUAAAUCUUAAUAUCGCUUUGUGAUUUCCCCUCUGAUAAGUGUAUAAUUGCAGAAGUAUAUAU
Rattus norvegicus (Norway rat) is the source of this 245-nucleotide non-coding RNA. NCBI's taxonomy places the organism in Eukaryota, Metazoa, Chordata, Mammalia, Rodentia, Muridae. The record is from Rfam.